ACGGGGUGCAGCAGGCGCGAAAACUUUGCAAUACACGAAAGUGUGACAGGGCUAUCCCGAGUGCCAUCCGCUGAGGAAGGCUUUUACCCAGUCUAGAAAGCUGGGAGAAUAAGGAGAGGGCAAGUCUGGUGUCAGCCGCCGCGGUAAUACCAGCUCUCCGAGCGGUGUGGAUGUUUAUUGGGCCUAAAGCAUCCGUAGCUGGCCAAGUUAGUCCCCUGUUAAAUCCACCGAAUUAAUCGUUGGAGUGCGGGGGAUACUGCUCGGCUAGGGGACGAGAGAGGCCGACGGUAUUUUCGGGGUAGGGGUGAAAUCCUAUAAUCCCGGGAAGACCACCAGUGGCGAAGGCUGUCGGCUAGAACGUGCUCGACGGUGAGGGAUGAAAGCUGGGGAGCGAACCGGAUUAGAUACCCGGGUAGUCCCAGCUGUAAACGAUGCAGGCUAGGUGUUUGGGCGGCCACGUGCCGCUCUAGUGCCGCAGGGAAGCUGUUAAGCCUGCCGCCUGGGGAGUACGGCCGCAAGGCUGAAACUUAAAGGAAUUGGCGGGGGAGCAC
Molecule: ribosomal RNA, 551 nt
Filed under: uncultured archaeon
Lineage: Archaea
Description: bacterial SSU rRNA
Rfam family: Archaeal small subunit ribosomal RNA
Source: RNAcentral